This 1056-nucleotide small RNA is filed under the name Pan troglodytes (chimpanzee). RNAcentral describes it as "retained intron". The record is from RNAcentral. Lineage: Eukaryota; Metazoa; Chordata; Mammalia; Primates; Hominidae.
GGCAGAUGCUAGCGCAGGCGCAGGGGCUCGAGAGGCCUGGACCUGUGGCGCAUCCUCAGUGAGGAGGGCCGACCUGCACCCGUCGCCGGCCCCGGUCUCCAGGGGCUUCACCCGAGUCAUGCCCCGCUAUUGCGCAGCGAUUUGUUGUAAGAACCGCCGGGGACGAAACAAUAAAGACCGGAAGCUGAGUUUUUAUCCAUUUCCUCUACAUGACAAAGAAAGACUGGAAAAGUGGUUAAAGAAUAUGAAGCGAGAUUCAUGGGUUCCCAGUAAAUACCAGUUUCUAUGUAGUGACCAUUUUACUCCUGACUCUCUUGACAUCAGAUGGGGUAUUCGAUAUUUAAAACAAACUGCAGUUCCAACAAUAUUUUCUUUGCCUGAAGACAAUCAGGUAUUGCAGUAUGGGAGAGGGGUAAUGCUGAGCAGAGUGGCAGAUUUCAGGGUGGCAGGUGAUCAGGUGGGAGAGUAAGAGGGAACUAUAACUUGGGUAAACAGAUACUUGGAAAAAAGGGAGCACUAAUUUGUGCUUUUACUAAAAGUGAUAAUUUAAAAAAUUAAACUCAUGAAGCACAGCUUAAGAGAAGCAAGAGAUAUACAUUAUUAAGUUAUUAACACAAGUUCAUGAGUUUUAUUUUUUAUACUUUUUUUUUUUUUUUUUUGAGACAAGGUCUCAUUCUGUCACCCUGGCUAGAGUGCAGUGGUGCGAUCUCAACUCACUGCAACCUCUGCCUCCUGGGUUCAAGCCAUUCUCUUGCCUCAGCCUCCUGAGUAGCUGGGAUUACAGGCGCCUGCCACCAUGCCCGGCUAAUUUUUGUAUUUUUAGUAGGGAUGGGGUUUUCACCAUGUUAGCCAGGCUGGUCUUGAACUCCUGACCUCAGUUGAUCUGCCUGCCUUGGCCUCCCAAUAUACUAGUCUUUUGAAUGAUCUGAAAUGUUUCUGCCGUAUAUUGAAUGGGAUUAAUGCUUUUUAGAAAAUACUUUAAGGUAUAUAUACUCUGAACUUUUUUUUAACUAAAUAAAUUUGCUUGGCCAGUGUACUACUCAAUAUUAUAAUUAA